Molecule: long non-coding RNA, 380 nt
Filed under: Cricetulus griseus (Chinese hamster)
Lineage: Eukaryota; Metazoa; Chordata; Mammalia; Rodentia; Cricetidae
Description: lncRNA (ENSCGRG00015037940.1)
Source: RNAcentral
CUUUGAUGGUUCCUGAACUUUUAUAGUUCUAUGGACAUGUUGGAUGUUUCUGGCAAGAGAGAGAGGGUCACUGCUUCAGUACUUUCAGGAGGAGACAGAAGCCUGAGUUUCCCAUUUGACCUCCGUGGAUACUACACCGACAGCUGCUGAGUUGCUGAAGAAUGACUGUUGAGACUGAGCUCUUCACUACAAGGACUUAUCUGACAACCAGCCCUUGGGAUACAAAACUCUCUUCUCUUCCUGCACAGUUAUACAACUGUUAAGGACCACAAGAUUUAGAGCUCUCUGCAGUCAUACCAAGGAAAUGACAAACUUCAGAUCUCUGCAAACAAGAUCUCCACCAUCGGGAAUACUUCUUUCUUCAUUUUCUUGAACCAACG